This 265-nucleotide ribosomal RNA is filed under the name uncultured archaeon. RNAcentral's name for it is "partial 16S ribosomal RNA". It matches the Rfam family "Archaeal small subunit ribosomal RNA", at positions 717 to 982 of the family's 1478-position model. The record is from RNAcentral.
ACACGUCUACAUUAGACUACCCCCGUAGUCCCAGCCGUAAACUAUGCGCGUUAGGUGUAUCGGUGACCACGAGUUACCGAGGUGCCGAAGGGAAACCGUGAAACGUGCCGCCUGGGAAGUACGGUCGCAAGGCUGAAACUUAAAGGAAUUGGCGGGGAGCACCACAACAGGUGGAGCCUGCGGUUUAAUUGGACUCAACGCCGGGAAGCUCACCGGAUAGGACAGCAGAAUGAUUGCCGGGCUGAAGACCCUGCAUGACUAGCUG